Galeopterus variegatus (Sunda flying lemur) is the source of this 4081-nucleotide long non-coding RNA. RefSeq lists it as uncharacterized. The record is from RefSeq and is a predicted model, not a curated record. The transcript has 3 exons. NCBI's taxonomy places the organism in Eukaryota, Metazoa, Chordata, Mammalia, Dermoptera, Cynocephalidae.
CUCUACAUUUCUCUCCACGAGCUGGGCGUGGCUGACUCCCUAUCUCCUGAUUCUGAGUUGCCCUUGAUCUUGGGUCCCACCCUGUUCUUGUCUCAAGCAGUCACUUUGGAAUGUGUUUCCCUCCUCCAAGAUUGAAGGAUUAGUCAUGAAAAUCGUCACUCGCCUUCUGCCCUUGCUCAAGGGUGCGUUGGUUAUUCCAUCGUUCCACCUGUAUUUUCAAGGGCUGUCUGUUGGAAAAUGGCUUCUUUAGGGCUUUCCCUCUUCUCCAUGCUUUCCUGGACGACUGCUGGGUUUUGGGUGGGAGGAGAGCAGCUUCAGACGUGGAGAUAUGACUGAUAAAGCUCUCACCAUUUUUGCAGAAGUCAUGCAUUCCAUUCAAGGAGAUCCAUGCUCUAGCCUCCGGACAUUUCCCCUGGCUGCAGGUGCCUGCAUCUGCGUAGGUUAUCAAAGCACUUUGUGACUAUGGAGGAAGGUGCCAGAAGCAGAACAUGGGUCUAGCAGACUCACGGGCAUGGAACUGGUAUGGUGGUGUUGUGGAAAUCAGGAAAGGACAAGAAUGGGAAAAGGAAACCUGGUUGUUUACGAGUAAGAUAGCCGGUGAGGCUGGUUCCCUGAGGAUGUGGCAUGCACAGCCACGGGAAAUACAGACAGAUAGGGAGCUCCACCCCCAUGUAGAGCGCCAUUCAAUUGGACCAAUGAGCUCCCACCAGCUAAGGUGCCAAUCAACAGAGACUACCAGGGUUCAACCAAUGACCAAAGGACAGGGAUCCAGCUGGGAGGACUUAAACCAGGGGGAAUGUUACUGACAGCCCUCCAGAGCCACACUGUUGGUGGAGUCCGCUCCAUUCUCUAUGGAGUGUAUUCUCUUUACUAAAUAUACUGUACUUUGCUUUUCACCUCUGGCGUGUCUCCUCCAAUUCAUCAAGAACCCGGACGUAGCUGGCAAAACCUGCAGUUUCCCACAACAUAUUGGUUUCCUGACUGGGAAACCCGCAGUUUUCCCACAACAGUGACACCAUGUCCCAUGUUCUUCAAGAAAUGUCUAGACUAGAUGACUUCAUUGGAGAUCUGGCACAAUGCCUUUGUCACACACAGGGGCAAAUUGUGAUCCAGACAGAGGAAGUGACUGGCCCAGGUCAUUCAGCAAGCUGGUGACGAGCUGACACCGAGUUUAUUCAUUUAUUGCACACAUUUCUUGAGGGCCUGCUGUGUGCCAGGCACUGUUCUAGGCACUGGGGAUACAGCUGUGGAUGAAACGAGGUGCCGGUGUGGCGCUUGUAUCUGCUGAUGUGUAUGGGGGAGACUGUGGGUAAACGAAUACACACCCCAUAAUGCAUGUAGUUAGACGUACUGUGAUGUUCUUGUGCUUCCUUUCCUCUGUUUUGGAGGGAAUGGGUUUGAGGAAGAGAUGUUCACUCACACAUUCGCUCAUUAAAUAAAUAUUAGUGGAUGUCUUGCUGGGUGCCAUGGGGGGCACACAGAAGAGCAGGAUCUGCCUUCAAAAGUUUGCCACUCAAUUGGGCAGAUAAGGCAUGCCUCUGAGCAUCUUUGCAUGUACUUGUACCAUUUUUCCGCUCAUUGUCAUCCUCUCCUGAUCUCUGCUGAAAAGAAGGCUUGCAGGAAACUCUGAUUCUGAAAUGGUGCAAAUCCCUUCCCCAAAAGGCACCACAAAGUCAGCUGCUGCUACUGACUUAUUGAUGGGCAUAUCCAGUGGCCUUGGGGAGGCGGUGGGCAGCCCAGCCAUGGCCUGUAAUAAGGAGAGACAACUCAGCAUCCUCCCUGCAGUGAAUAAUAGAACAAAAAGCUGCCAGUGUCUGCAGGAUCAAAGCGCAUGAACAAUCACAGCGUCUCUGGGUUAAAUAGAUCAGCAGAGGAGGCUGGGGUGGCUGGUGGAUGCCAUCGAACUUUCUGGGAGUGCAGUUUGGGCUGCAGAGGAACCUUCAGCUGGAGAGAAGAUUUCUUACCUUACAAGAUGUUCUCCUGUGGCUCUCUCCUGUUAACCUCCCGUGGAGAUGGGGGGCUCUUCCUCCAUCCUUUCUCUCCACCACCCCUACCCCUAGAGCCGAAAAAGAUGAGGCAGUUCUAGAAGACCCUGGCUGUGUGUGGUGCUCUGGGGAGCUUUCUCAGUCAGGAAGACCCCUAAGGUCCUUGGCAGGCUCUCAGAACCACACCCUGACUGCUGUUGUGAAAGUGUGUGUGUGCACGUGUGUGCGCACAGCGUCCCAAGUCAGCCUGAGGCCCGAGUCCUGAGCCUUUUGUUUUUCAUCCUGAGUCAGCCCGUGGGGGAGCAGCCUCCACUUCUCUGCCUUUGAGUUCGCCUGCCCCAGGGACCAUGGGCUGCCACCUCCACCACCACAGCAGCCAACACUUUACAUGCACUUCCUCUCUGCUGUGCUCUAUUCUAAAUGCUUAAGGUUGAUUGAAUCUUUACAACAACCCUAGGAAUUGUUCCAAUUCACAGGUAAGAAAACUGAGGCCCAGAGGAGUUUAAUAACUUGCCCAAGUAAGUGAGGGCAAAGAACUUUGGGUUUGGUGGUAGAUUCACACUUGUGUCAGCUGCAACUGGGAAAUGUCUCUUUUCUGAGGGUUCCAUUAAGGACUGUGUCCCAAGUCAUGGCUGGACUCAGUCAUUGGCUUUGUAGAUUACUGGGCUGUGGUGUCCAAAGCUAGAACAUCAGCGUACUGCUUGAAGAAGUAAGAGCAGGACGGGAUGAGAUGGGGGCAACAUGGGUUCACGGUGUCAUCCCCUUCAUCCUCCACUGCUUGUUUUGAUUGAGGAAUAUUUCAUUCAUUGGGGAGUAUUUUAUAUACCAUAAAAUACACACAUUUUAAGUGUACAGAAUGAUAAGAUUUGACAAAUAUAUUGUCAUAUAACCGCCACCCCAAUUAAGAAAUGAACAUUUGCAUCACCACAGAAAGUUUCCUUGUGGAUGGUAAGUCCCCCUUACCAUCAAUCCCCAUCUCCACCCCAGAAACCCCGAUCCUAUUUUUAACACUAUAGAUUAAUUUUGUGUGUUCUCAAACUUUGUGUACAUGGAAAUAUAUAUUAUGUACUUUUUUGUAUAUCUGGCUUUUUUUACUCAGUGUAACGUUUUGAGAUUCAUGCAUGUGGUUCAUCCUUUUUUUUUUUAUUGCUGAGUAAUAUUCCAUUGUAUGGAUGUACCACAGUUUGUUUAUGAAUGUACCUGUUAGUAGAGAUUUAGGUUGUUUACAGUCUUGUACUAUUACAAAUAAAUUUGCUAUGAACAUUUGUAUGGAAGUCUUUGUGUGGACAUGUGUUUUCAUUUCUCUUGGACAAAUACCUGGUAGUUGAUGGCUAGGUUGUAUGGCAGGUGUAUUUUCAACUUUUAAGAAACUGCAAAGCUCUUUUCCAAAGUGGUUGUACUAUUUUACUCUCCCACCAGCAGGAUGUGGGAGUUCUAGUUGCCCCACAUCCUCACCAACACUUGGUAUUGUCUGUUUUUAAUGAUUUUGCUGUUCUAUUGGGCAUGAAGUAGUGUCUCAUUGUGGUUUUAAUUUGUUUCCCUGACAACUAAAGAUGUUGAAUUUCUUUUAAUGUGCUUAUUGGACAUAUUUGUACCAUCUUUUGUGAAUUAAUUAAGUCUUGCCAGUUUUUAAAUUGGGUUGUUUGUUUUCUUGUUGUUGAAUUCUAAGAGUUUCUUCUGUAUUCUGGAUAUGAAUCUUGUGUUAGAUGUAUAAAUUGUGAGUAUUUUUUCCCAGUCUGUGGCUUGUCUUUUCAUUUUUAAAAUGAUGCCUUUUGAAGAUCAGAAGUCUUAACUUUUGAUUAAGUCUAAUUGUUGAUUGUUUUCUUUUGUGUUUUAUGCUUUUAGUGUGCUAAAAAAUCUUUGCCUACCCCAAGGUCACUAAUAUUUCUCCUGUAUCUUAUGGUCUUAGCUUUUAUGUUUAGGGCUAUGAUCUAUUUUGAAUCAAUUUUUGUGUAGAGUUUGAGAUAGGGGUUGGGUUGGGUUCAUUUUUUUUCCCCAUAUGCAUAUGCAGUUGCUUCAUCACUACCUGUUGAAAAGACAAUCAUUUUCCUAUUGAAUUACUUUGCACCCUUGUCAAAAAUAAAUUGAUAAUAUAA